UACGGAGGAUGCGAGCGUUAUCCGGAUUUAUUGGGUUUAAAGGGUGCGUAGGCGGGAUGCCAAGUCAGCGGUAAAAAUGCGGUGCUCAACGCCGUCGAGCCGUUGAAACUGGCGUUCUUGAGUGGGCGAGAAGUAUGCGGAAUGCGUGGUGUAGCGGUGAAAUGCAUAGAUAUCACGCAGAACUCCGAUUGCGAAGGCAGCAUACCGGCGCCCUUCUGACGCUGAGGCACGAAAGCGUGGGUAUCGAACAGG
RNAcentral lists this ribosomal RNA (252 nucleotides) under uncultured bacterium. RNAcentral describes it as "partial 16S ribosomal RNA". It matches the Rfam family "Bacterial small subunit ribosomal RNA", at positions 524 to 776 of the family's 1533-position model. The record is from RNAcentral.